AGAUACAGAGGCAGUUUUCAGAAGGAGGGUUGAUGUCACCACUAACAUUUUGCACACAGUGAUGUAAGAGAUUCUUCCUACUCAGAGUCGUAAUUGGGUUGAUGAUCUACAUGAUGGUGAUGGACCAGGACAGCUCCGGACCCCCUGACUGGCAGCUCCAUCCUCAACCUGCCUUCUUGCCCUUCACACAUGUGCAGGUACAGAGGCAGUUUUCAGAAGGGUUGAUGUCACAGCCAACAUUUUGUGAAGGAGAGUUCCACCUACGGUGAACACAGAAACUUGCACGCA
Long non-coding RNA from Engraulis encrasicolus (European anchovy), 288 nucleotides. RefSeq lists it as uncharacterized. NCBI's taxonomy places the organism in Eukaryota, Metazoa, Chordata, Actinopteri, Clupeiformes, Engraulidae. The transcript is spliced from 3 exons. The record is from RefSeq and is a predicted model, not a curated record.